CGGGUCACGUGGGCAGCUUCGCCCCGCCCCGCCCCGCGGAGCUCCACGCGGUGGCCGGAGCCCUGGCUGGCUCAGUAGCCUCACGCGGGGGCGCUGCAGCCAGGUCUCGCGGAGGUCGAGCAGGGGACUUGAGGCAGAUUCUACUAUCUUGGGGACUUCCCUGGUAGCACAGUGGUUAAGAAUCCGCCUGCCAAUGCAGGGGACACGGGUUGGAGCCCUGGUCCAGGAACAUCCCACAUGCCGUGGAGCAACUAAGCCCAUGUGCCACAACUACUGAGCCCGCGCACCACAGCUAGUGAAGCCCGCGCGCCUAGAGCCUGUGCUACACAAGAGAAGCCACCGCAAUGAGAAGCCCGUGCACCACAACAAAGAGUAGCCCCCGCUCGCCGCAACUAGAGAAAGCCUGUGCGCAGCAACAAAGACCCAACACAGCCAUAAAUAAAUAAAUAAAUUUAUAAAAAAUAAAAAUAAAAAAAAGAUUCUACUCUCUUAAAGUUGACUCAAAACAGAGGAAAUGUGUGGGAGCAUAUGAAUAGUGCAUCAGACUAACAGUAAUUAAGAGAAGAAGAUAUUAAAAAAUCUGAACGAAUGACAGCUGUUGUCCAUGAUAGAGAAGUGGUCAUCUUCUACCACAGAGGAGAGUAUCAUGCUAUGGAUAUUCGCUGUUACCUGACUAGAUGUAAUAUUCAAUUCCUUUGCAGACUCAGGAGGACCUUUACAUUUAGGAGAAAUAGAGUCAAGGCAGUUUCAAAGUAAGGAAGAUACAGCUGCUCCCCAGCCAUACGAGAUGUGAAAGUUUCUGCGAGCCAAGAUGCUGGGCAGACGUGCCAGGAUCCCUAUAAAAAGAUGAGUCUCCUGAUUUCAAGGUUCCUCUCCUGCAAUGUAACUUACUACAUGCAUAGGUAACAUCUGGCUGUCACCACAUUGCCCUGCGGGAACUGACACAAGAUACUGCUCUGGCUGCUGCUUUUGCUUGUCUCUUCUGGCAGUGUGUGUGCCUAUGUAUUUCUAUAACUGGCAGGCUAACUUGUUAGCUCAUAAAUAGUGUAAAAUCUCAGCUCCUUCACAGUUUUAACUUAGCAAAGAGGAGAAAAAAGAAAGACUGUAAAUAACAAUAAUGGACAGUGUCUUUAAACAUAAUUUCAUAAUAAAUACAGAAAUAUUCUUCAAAGGACACUUCUUAUAUCAACUCUCUAUAAAAACUAUGGGUCUAACAAUGCAAGGAAAGAAACAGCAAGGCAAAACAUUAGAUUCAGAAAGACAUUUCACUGGGAAUUUAAAAUAAUACAGUUCAGCUAUGUUUCUUUUUGAUGAUCUAAAGAUACAGGAAUAAGCCUUAUAGUGCUCAGAAAUCCAAUGGUUAACAAACAGAAACCAUUUUUUACUUUCUCAAACAUCAGGUAUUAUAAAGGAGCCUUUUAUAAAUGUUGUCUCAGGCAAUUCAUAAUUGAAAUAUCUGAUGAUUUCUGGAAAUGUCAAAAUCUUUUAUUAAAAAGAGAUUCCUAUAUAUUGAAUAUUUUGUUUAUUUUAGCCACCCAUCAUCUAUUUUCUCAUCUUCUUAAAACAACACAGAUUUUUGUUUGAGGAUUCAUCCUUUCCCCAUUCUUAAGUCAUGUUGUCUCGAUGGGGCUCCAACCCCUACUCUAGAAAUGAAGCAGGUAAUCAAGUCCUAGGCCAAUCAAUGCACCCCCAUUUCCCUGGUUAAGAGGUAAGCCAUUCUCUAAGAGUGGACCUCAGGACUUGGCCAGGAAUGCUGGGUCAAGGACUCAUUCUUUUCUGCUGUAGUUGAACCUGGAAGGAUGUAGCCUGGGAACAACUGCAAAUCAUCUUGUGACCACGAGGGGAAAGUCAGUCUACGAAUGGAGUCAACACAGAGAAAGCAGAGCCAGGAGAUCAGUAAAAGAGAGAAACAGGAUCCUGAAGGUAUCAUUUGAGUACCUAUAUCCAGCUAUGCCUGAAACCUUCUCAACUCUGGAUUGAGUACAAGAACUAAUACAUCUCCUUUCUGGCUUAACUCUCCCUUCAACAAAGGGAUGCUUUGAGUAAUGCCCAGAUUGAAAAACCCAGAGUUCUGUGCCAUAAAGUUCAGAAAAAAAGAAACUGGUCCUGAAAAACUUUGACAAAAUAUAAUAGGGCCUCAAUAAAACAACAUAGAACACGUAUUUGAAACAGACCUGGACACUGACAGGUCUAUCGAAAUGAGUUUAUAGCUAAAUAUACUCAAUAUGUUAUGUCAAAGAUUAUCUUGGAAACAUAACAAGGUUAUGGGGAAAAGGACACAAAGCACAUCAUUUUUAAGGCUUGUUGUAGAAUUUCUUUCAGAUUUGACAUAAGUGGUAAUUUGCAUGCUUAUAUUUAGGUUGAACCAUUUGAAAUUGAUAGUUUCAUUUAGUUCAAUCAAAUAACAAGGGAGAAAAAAGUCUGCAUUACUUCCUUUUUCACAUUUAUUUAAACGAGAGAAUAUACUAUACUGAAAAAAGGCCCAUCUAUUUAUUUCUCUUAUCCAACUAUUCUUGUUUUACAUCUAGGACAACCAAAUGUGCUACAUUUUCAUUUUCCAAAUCUUACAAUUUCAAAAUACUUCCUAAAAAAAGAUCCAUAGCCUGUGCAAAUGCAGUAUUUAUUUACCUGCAGGUUAUAUAGGGGUUGCUUUUGUGUAUUAACUUCCUUGAGCAGACGAUGAGAUAUGUCCCUUAACUCUAAAAGUCUGCAAGCAAGCUGAGGCUGCAGAAGUUUGGCAACUGAUUUGGAGGAUCUGGAUAUGCUGUUCAAUCCUCAAAUUAAUGUUCCUCGGUUGAUCUUGGCUAAAGCGACAGCCAUUCUGAUUUUGGAUGUUUUUUGCACGGGUUCUCUUUUCUGGAAAAUAAGCCUUUGAAAAGUGACUGAUGUGUGAUUCUCCAGUGCAGUAUUUAUUUACUAAAAAUUUUUUAAUUUAAAAUAUAGUUGAUGUACAAUAUUGUUAGUCUCAGGUAUACUAUAUAAUUUGACAUUUGCAAACAGUAUGAAAUGAAUACCACAAGUCUAGUAACCAUCUGUCCCCAUACAAAGUUAUUACAAUAUUAUUGAUCAUCUUCCUUAUGCUGUAUAUUGUAUUCCCAUUACUUAUUAUAGAACUGGAGAUUUGUACCUCUUAAUCCCCUUCACCUGUUUCGCUCACACUGCUCCCUCCCUCCAUCCCCCCUCACCCUACCAGCAACCACCCAUUUGUUUCCAGUGCAUUAUUAAAAUCUACUUCAGGCAGAGACAAGUACCACAUAACUGUACACUGUGCCUGAUACUAAGUGUCCAAUAAUUAUCUCCCACCCUCCUUACAACUCAUUGGUCCCACCCCAGGUAUUUAAAUCUUUAUAUGAAUAUAUGAUUUUUUCCUUAGGAUAAAUAUCCAGAAUUAAGUUAGUAGCCUAAAAAUAUAAAUUUUUCAUUUUUCUCUCUGGAUUUAUCUGUUUUUUGCAUUGAUUUUUUAAAAAAGAGCUCUUUCAAAAGUAAACAAUCUUGGGAACAUAUGUAUAUGUAUAACUGAUUCACUUUGUUAUAAAGCAGAAACUAACACACCAUUGUAAAGCAA
Molecule: RNA transcript, 3565 nt
Organism: Balaenoptera acutorostrata (minke whale)
Lineage: Eukaryota; Metazoa; Chordata; Mammalia; Artiodactyla; Balaenopteridae
Gene: RFESD
Gene name: Rieske Fe-S domain containing
Exons: 6
Source: RefSeq, a predicted model, not a curated record